Picea glauca (white spruce) is the source of this 140-nucleotide non-coding RNA. The record is from Rfam. NCBI's taxonomy places the organism in Eukaryota, Viridiplantae, Streptophyta, Pinopsida, Pinales, Pinaceae.
AGCUUUGAAGUUCAAUUUCAAACGGUCGUUGAGAAGAAUCCUUUGCAGACGACUUAAAUACACGACGGGGUAUUGUAAGUGGCAGAGUGGCCUUGCUGCCACGAUCCAUUGAGAUUCAACCCUUCGUCACCUCGAUUCAG